GGGCUCGCUUCGGCAGCACAUAUACUAAAAUUGGAACGAUACAGAGAAGAUUUAGCAUGGCCCCUACAUAUUCUUCCUAGUCUAAGUACUUUAAAGCAAUUUU
Molecule: small nuclear RNA, 103 nt
Organism: Callorhinus ursinus (northern fur seal)
Lineage: Eukaryota; Metazoa; Chordata; Mammalia; Carnivora; Otariidae
Source: RefSeq, a predicted model, not a curated record